CUGGGUGUGGCGCAGUUUGGUAGCGCGCCAGAAUGGGGUUCUGGAGGCCGCAAGUUCAAGUCUUGUCACCCAGACCA
RNAcentral lists this transfer RNA (77 nucleotides) under Clostridia bacterium. Its description in RNAcentral is "tRNA-Pro". It matches the Rfam family "tRNA". From Rfam's summary of the family: Transfer RNA (tRNA) molecules are approximately 80 nucleotides in length. Their secondary structure includes four short double-helical elements and three loops (D, anti-codon, and T loops). Further hydrogen bonds mediate the characteristic L-shaped molecular structure. tRNAs have two regions of fundamental functional importance: the anti-codon, which is responsible for specific mRNA codon recognition, and the 3' end, to which the tRNAs corresponding amino acid is attached (by aminoacyl-tRNA synthetases). tRNAs cope with the degeneracy of the genetic code in two manners: having more than one tRNA (with a specific anti-codon) for a particular amino acid; and 'wobble' base-pairing, i.e. permitting non-standard base-pairing at the 3rd anti-codon position. Lineage: Bacteria; Bacillati; Bacillota; Clostridia. The record is from RNAcentral.